Molecule: long non-coding RNA, 2287 nt
Organism: Cavia porcellus (domestic guinea pig)
Lineage: Eukaryota; Metazoa; Chordata; Mammalia; Rodentia; Caviidae
Exons: 8
Source: RefSeq, a predicted model, not a curated record
GUGGGGUGGGGGUGUGAAAAACGAGACUCUUCUAGCCUUGACUUUGAGAGGAGGCCACCCCAGCGCUUGGUCUGUUUUCAUAAGCUUAAGGAGACAACACAGACCUUCUCGGAAAAAUAAAAACAAGCAGUAGGUACCAGCCGGACGGGACCUGCCUGGAGCUGCGCAACAGCACAGAGCACCGCAGACGCCUGCGGGGUGCCUCGACCCGCACCCGAAGAACACCCUUCCCCGCCUGGAUCGCAACCCUGCUUCUUCGAGGCGCGCGGGCCCCCCAACCUAGCGACCCCCGGGCUUCGCGGCGUGGCCUUACCCGACUCCACGCGACCCCGGCGCUCCUUUCCUGGGACCCAUCACUGUCCCGCUCCAACCCCGAUUUCAACACUGCAGCUCGGAUCGCGUAGGGAGAGCAAAGUCGUAGAGCGCCCCCUCCCCCGUGCGCCCUCUGCCCAGUUCCCGGGCCUGCGCCCCGGUUAAAAAGGAGAAGUGGAAGGUAUGCAAAUGACAAGCAAAUUGGAAGAGCUGGGAAGAAAGGCGGCUAUAAUAAACAAGACAAAGGGAGAGGACGUGGGGAGGAGCCCCGGACUUUUCGCCCAGGGAGAUGGAAGGCUGAGGCUCGCCGGAGAGCAGAGACCCUGGCGAACAAAAAAGCGACCCGGUCCCCUCUGCAGUCCUCUCCGGGGAAGAGAGGGCAAGAGAAAGCAGGGAAGGAAGCCGAUGCCUCCUCGCACCCCAGAAACAAGACACAAAAGAGAGCGGAAAAGGCGCGCGCGCGCACGCUGAUGGUUUGCGGGUGAUGGAUGUGAGAUCGGACCGGGGCCGGGUCUGCUGGAAAAAAAAAAUUGAGGGAGUUGGCUGUUUGUGCAAAGGUGACUGGUUGACUAAGAAGACCAGCGGUUUUUUUUAUCUGCAGAACAAAUAAAGCCUGGUCAAAGAUGGAGGAAAAGCUUUCCAAGAUGGAGGAGCCAUGUGAUAGGAGGAGCCCAGAUUCCAGAGUUGUCAGUUGAAGAAAGGACACCCCCAAAUCUCAUGUAAUCCAGACCACAUGUUCAUGGGCUAGGCAGGUGCUCCACUGCCAAGCUACAUCCCCAGCCCAACACUGUCCAUCUUCAAAGUUCCCCUUCUCGGUGACACGGGACUACAGUUCUGAUGGUUAAGCUUGACUGUGUCGAUUUGGUGGAUUAAAGAGCUGCCUAGGAGAUUGCUGUGGUCCCUUCUGGAUGUGUCUGGCUGGGUCACGGAGGCCCACUGUUCUUCUGGUGCUGUUCUUCUGUCCUGCUUUCCAGCCACCAGAAACUGAACAUCUGUGCUCUGCCAUGAUAUUUCUGCCUUGGAGCCAGCUGACCAUGGACUGGAUCCUCUGAAACCGAACACACGGGAAGGAGGCUGGGACGCUACGACCUGCAGUCACUGCACCCUACUUGCCAAGCUGCCCCAGCUCCUGUGACGUCUGAUAUCAUGGGAACGGAUGGGCUGAUUGCGUGGGGGACACAGCCAGUGAGGUGAGGUUAGCACCACUCUGAGCCUGCUCCCCACCGCCUCAGCAUUGCUGCUUACACACUCAUGCUCGUGCCCCACACAGCUGAAUCACAGAAAAUAUUGGUAAAAAUAUUACAGUAAUGUUAAAAGUUUACGAUCUUGUGGGGCCACAUUCCCAGCCAUGCAGGGCUGUGUAUAGCUCUCAGGCUAUGAGCUGAAGGUACCUUGUCUGAUUGUAUCUACUAAAACUCUUGCCUGAGAAGAGAUUGGGAUUAAAUUAUGGAUCUCUGAAAAGUAUUUCAGAGUGACUUAAUGCAAGUAUUGGAGCCAUGAUAAAAAUAGUUUCCUGUACUACGGUGCAGAGGGUAAGACAGUGAGGGGGAAGUACAGAGGUAAAACAGAAGGUGUACCUGUCGAUAUUUUUCACCCACGUCAUUCUGAAGCCUUGUUCAUGAUUCUAGGAAUCUUCUAGAUCAGGAGCUGACAGGCCACGUCCAGUACAAAAACUGUGGUCUUUGUACCAGUAAACCGACACCCAAACAGCCCCUCACCUCGCCUGUGACUGCUUUCCUCCCCCAGAGGCAGAGGCAAGGAGGUGCAACAGAGACCAAAGUGACAAAAACUAAGAAUGUUGGAGGAGAGGCAGCAUGAAAAGUUUGUGCUACUAUUGAUAGGAGAAAUUUUGAGCAACUACUUUAAAGUAGCAUGCAAUGUAUUAACUACUGUUAUUCUCCUAUUAUUUGGUUAUGAAAUUUUGUUUUAUCAUCUUCCCAUAAAAUAAUAAAAAGUUUACUUUCUCAUUUGCUAA